AUGAAGAUGGUGCUUAAGGUGCCGAUGGUCUGCAAGAAGUGCAAAUCUUGCGUUCUUACGAUUGUGUCCAAGGUCAAAGGGGUCAAGUCGAUGGCAUACGACGAGGAGAAGAGCACGCUGACGGUGGUGGGGGAUGUGGACGUGGUGGUGGUCGUGGACGCGCUGCGCAAGGGGAAGCACCCGGCGACGGUGGUGACGGUGGGCGACGAGAAGAAGGAGGCGGAGGAGAAGAAGAAGAAGGACGAAGAGGAGAAGAAGAAGAAGGAGAAGGAGGCCGAGGAGAAGAAGAAAAAGGAAUGCCUGGAGCUGAUGCAGAAGCACUGCCCCAAGGCUUGCCUGCCGCCACCCUACUGCCCGCCGCCACCCCACUGCCCGCCGCAAACCUACAGCUGCUACGUCGACGACCACCCCGGCCCCUGCACCAUCGUCUGA
RNAcentral lists this ribosomal RNA (432 nucleotides) under Triticum aestivum (bread wheat). RNAcentral describes it as "partial small subunit ribosomal RNA". Lineage: Eukaryota; Viridiplantae; Streptophyta; Magnoliopsida; Poales; Poaceae. The record is from RNAcentral.